AAGAGUUUGUUUUGUUAUCCAUUUGUUUGUAUCGUUUGUGCUUUUCGAAAUUAUUUUAAUCCUAUCAUGGGUCGUGCAAAAAAUAAACAAAAUUUAUUGAUUGCCACUGAUUUAUUUUAUUUCGAAAUGAUACCAUAAGUGUCAAGUAGAAACUUUGUUUGACUUUAAGAUUUCUCGUGACAACGGGAGUUAGUUUCGUGGACCUAUCUUUCCGAUUUUUUAUGGGAAAAACAUUAGUCAGAUGGUGUGUAAUGCAGACAAUCCAGGCAAUCGACAUGCAUUUUACAAUUUUACAGACUAGGCCAGUCCCCGAAAGCCCAAGUUUUUGGAUAAAAGUUUCUUUUUAUUUUUUGUCAAACAGGAAUUUUCCCAACUGUCUUGGUUGAUGGAAAGCAUAUGAAAAUGUUUGCCCCAAGAAA
This is a long non-coding RNA of Eupeodes corollae, 419 nucleotides long. RefSeq lists it as uncharacterized. The record is from RefSeq and is a predicted model, not a curated record. Lineage: Eukaryota; Metazoa; Arthropoda; Insecta; Diptera; Syrphidae. The transcript is spliced from 3 exons.